This 303-nucleotide signal recognition particle RNA is filed under the name Capsicum annuum. RNAcentral's name for it is "Plant signal recognition particle RNA". It matches the Rfam family "Plant signal recognition particle RNA". Lineage: Eukaryota; Viridiplantae; Streptophyta; Magnoliopsida; Solanales; Solanaceae. The record is from Rfam by way of RNAcentral.
GCCGAGCCUUGUAACGUGGGCUUCUGACCUAAGUGGGGGCAUCAAAGUGGGGGAAUGUUGGGUUGUUCGUGAUGGCUGGGCUUGGUGAGCUAAUCUCCGGCCUGCCCUAUCCAAGCACAGAGGUGAGUCACGUGGUCCAAACAAAAGUAUGGGCUACUUGGCUCUUAGAGUGGGGUGGACUGCGUGAGGCUGGUUUCACAGAGCAACGAAUAGCUCCCGCUCUGUGCAGUGGAAGAAUAACGGGCUGGUGCUCUCCAAGUCCAACUAAAACCGGAUGGGCUGCCUAAUUAAACCACCACUUUU